This 27-nucleotide small RNA is filed under the name Bombyx mori (domestic silkworm). RNAcentral's name for it is "ovarian small RNA-22808". Lineage: Eukaryota; Metazoa; Arthropoda; Insecta; Lepidoptera; Bombycidae. The record is from RNAcentral.
UAGGUUCAAGAUAUCAGAGUGGCUCAU